This 88-nucleotide transfer RNA is filed under the name Parcubacteria group bacterium. RNAcentral describes it as "tRNA-Leu". It matches the Rfam family "tRNA". Rfam says of the family: Transfer RNA (tRNA) molecules are approximately 80 nucleotides in length. Their secondary structure includes four short double-helical elements and three loops (D, anti-codon, and T loops). Further hydrogen bonds mediate the characteristic L-shaped molecular structure. tRNAs have two regions of fundamental functional importance: the anti-codon, which is responsible for specific mRNA codon recognition, and the 3' end, to which the tRNAs corresponding amino acid is attached (by aminoacyl-tRNA synthetases). tRNAs cope with the degeneracy of the genetic code in two manners: having more than one tRNA (with a specific anti-codon) for a particular amino acid; and 'wobble' base-pairing, i.e. permitting non-standard base-pairing at the 3rd anti-codon position. The record is from RNAcentral.
GCCCGGGUGGUGGAACUGGUAGACACGCUGGACUUAAAAUCCAGUGGAUGUAUAAUCCGUGCGGGUUCGAGUCCCGCCCCGGGCACCA